AUUGUUAACUUGAAGAGCAUUCAGCGUCUGAUUUUUCAAACUAUGAGGGGGAGACAAUUAUUAUUACUUGAGUUACUAUGCCAAGUUGCUUUCGUUUAAGAUGUGUUCAGCCACUCAGGCGAUGAUACCACAGCUAAUAAAAUCGUGGGUGGGGAAUACAUCGGAAUUGAAGAAGUUCCUUUUCAAGCUUUUGUGUUAACAGAUAAGAAUACUUGUGUAGGGGUCAUAUAUAAUGAAGAAUAUAUUGUGACUGCCGCACAUUGUCUUCAAGAUAUCAAAAGAGUUCAAAUAAGAGUGGGAUUUAACAGUUGGUACGAUUCGGAAGAAAAAUAUCCAUACAUGAAUGGAACCUAUACCGUGCAUGAAAAAUAUAACAAUCCUGGAAAGAAUACUAAUUUUGAUUAUGACAUAGCACUCAUUAAAUUAUUAAAAAAGUUGUUGAUGGUGUUAAAAUAGCCAAAGCCACCUUCGUCGAACGAGGAAAGGAGCUUGCUGAUGGUACAAACUGCACAGUGUCUGGAUGGGGCUCUACAAUUAAAGGCGGGGCACCCUCUGCGUAUUUAAAGUCAGCCUUUCUUGAGAAAGUAAAUUAUAAGGAAUGUUCAAAAGACUACGAAAAAUAUCUAAC
Molecule: long non-coding RNA, 628 nt
Organism: Leptidea sinapis
Lineage: Eukaryota; Metazoa; Arthropoda; Insecta; Lepidoptera; Pieridae
Exons: 5
Source: RefSeq, a predicted model, not a curated record